Molecule: ribosomal RNA, 406 nt
Filed under: uncultured bacterium
Lineage: Bacteria
Description: partial 16S ribosomal RNA
Rfam family: Bacterial small subunit ribosomal RNA
Source: RNAcentral
AUUGAACGCUAGCGGCAGGCCUAACACAUGCAAGUCGAACGAGUGGCGGACGGGUGAGUAAUGUCUGGGAAACUGCCCGGUGGCGGGGGGUAACUACUGGAAACGGUAGCUAAUACCGCAUACCAUCGGAGCGGCCCAGAUGGGAUUAGCUAGUAGGUGGGGUAACGGCUCACCAAGGCAACGAUCCCUAGCUGGUAUGAGAGGACGACCAGCCACACUGGAACUGAGACACGGUCCAGACUCCUACGGGAGGCAGCAGUGGGGAAUAUUGCACAAUGGGCGCAAGCCUGAUGCAGCCAUGCCGCGUGUAUGAAGAAGGCCUUCGGGUUGUAAAGUACUUUUAGCGAGGAGGCGUUACUCGCAGAAGAAGCACCGGCUAACUCCGUGCCAGCCGCCGCGGUAAUAC